RNAcentral lists this ribosomal RNA (237 nucleotides) under uncultured bacterium. Its description in RNAcentral is "partial 16S ribosomal RNA". It matches the Rfam family "Bacterial small subunit ribosomal RNA", at positions 96 to 333 of the family's 1533-position model. The record is from RNAcentral.
CGGCGGACGGGUGAGUAACGCGUGGGUAACCUGCCUCAUACAGGGGGAUAACAGUUAGAAAUGACUGCUAAUACCGCAUAAGACCACAGCACCGCAUGGUGCAGGGGUAAAAACUCCGGUGGUAUGAGAUGGACCCGCGUCUGAUUAGCUGGUUGGUGGGGUAACGGCCUACCAAGGCGAUGAUCAGUAGCCGGCCUGAGAGGGCGACCGGCCACAUUGGGACUGAGACACGGCCAA